UGGCUUGCAAGGGAAUCGGGC
This 21-nucleotide unclassified non-coding RNA is filed under the name Mus musculus (house mouse). RNAcentral describes it as "oocyte_clustered_small_RNA13525". Lineage: Eukaryota; Metazoa; Chordata; Mammalia; Rodentia; Muridae. The record is from RNAcentral.